Molecule: ribosomal RNA, 468 nt
Filed under: uncultured bacterium
Lineage: Bacteria
Description: partial 16S ribosomal RNA
Rfam family: Bacterial small subunit ribosomal RNA
Source: RNAcentral
GACGAACGCUGGCGGCGUGCUUAACACAUGCAAGUCGAACGGAAAGGCCCUGCUUUUGUGGGGUGCUCGAGUGGCGAACGGGUGAGUAACACGUGAGUAACCUGCCCUUGACUUUGGGAUAACUUCAGGAAACUGGGGCUAAUACCGGAUAGGAGUUCCUGCUGCAUGGUGGGGGCUGGAAAGUUUCGGUGGAUUGGGUAGGACUCGCGGCUUAUCAGCUUGUUGGUGAGGUAGUGGAUUACCAUGGCUUUGACGGGUAGCCGGCCUGAGAGGGUGACCGGCCACAGUGGGACUGAGAUGCGGGCCGGACUCAUACGUGAGGAAGCGGUGGAGAAUAGUGCACGAUGGGCGGAGGCCGGAUGCAGCGACGCCGCGUGGGGGAUGACGGCCUUCAGAGUGGAAACCGCUUUCGCCUGGGACGAAGCGUGAGUGACGGUAUUGUGUAAAGAAGCGACGGCUAACUACGUG